This 455-nucleotide ribosomal RNA is filed under the name uncultured Pelotomaculum sp. RNAcentral's name for it is "bacterial SSU rRNA". It matches the Rfam family "Bacterial small subunit ribosomal RNA", at positions 929 to 1382 of the family's 1533-position model. The record is from RNAcentral. Lineage: Bacteria; Bacillati; Bacillota; Clostridia; Eubacteriales; Desulfotomaculaceae.
GCGGUGGAGCAUGUGGUUUAAUUCGACGCAACGCGAAGAACCUUACCAGGGCUUGACACUCCCUGACCGCGUAUGAAAGUACGUUUUCACCCUCGGGUGACAGGGAGACAGGUGGUGCAUGGUUGUCGUCAGCUCGUGUCGUGAGAUGUUGGGUUAAGUCCCGCAACGAGCGCAACCCCUACGUUUAGUUGCUAACGCGUGAAGGCGAGCACUCUAGACGAACUGCCGUUGACAAAACGGAGGAAGGUGGGAUGACGUCAAAUCAUCAUGCCCCUUAUGUUCUGGGCUACACACGUGCUACAAUGGCCGGUACAGACGGACGCAAAGCCGCGAGGCGGAGCAAAUCCUAAAAAGCCGGUCUCAGUUCGGAUUGCAGGCUGCAAUUCGCCUGCAUGAAGUCGGAAUCGCUAGUAAUCGCAGGUCAGCAUACUGCGGUGAAUACGUUCCCGGGCCUU